Molecule: non-coding RNA, 4247 nt
Organism: Ictidomys tridecemlineatus (thirteen-lined ground squirrel)
Lineage: Eukaryota; Metazoa; Chordata; Mammalia; Rodentia; Sciuridae
Source: RefSeq, a predicted model, not a curated record
GCCCAGCGCUGCCAAGGCCUGGGGACCACUCAGUCUUCAAAGGCCAGGGCUUCCAGGAGUCCUUUUCUGGUUUCUCUUUUGCAUCUAAUUACGAGAGAAAAGGUGCGUUUAAAACAACAGAAACCAUUUUCUUAAAUCACAAGGAACUAAGUCUCAAAAGCGUCUUGGAAUAAAAAUUACAACACUGAGGGGAAACAAAGACUCAGGACACCGGCAAAUGAUAAGCAUGAAAAGCCACCGAGAUUUCCAACCAAAACUGGUUUACCAUCUGACAUUCUGAAUCUGGGAUCUUUAUCCUUCUUCAGUAAUGCACUUGCAGCAUCCGCAGAAGAGGUUUUAAAUACCAAGCAAGAGAGGCCAGAAGCACAGGCACUGACCAAAUGUCCAAGAAGGAGAUGGUCUUCUUUCCUCAUGCUGCCAGUUUAAGGGACAAAAACCACUUCUUAAGUCCACACGAAAUCUUGAGCUCUUUAUGCCCUGGUUGUGUGAUGCUGAGAAUCGAACCCAGUGCCUCACACACACAAGGCAAGCUCUCUACCACUGAGCUACAACCCCAGCCCUCUGGCUAGUAUUCCUGUCCUAUAACUAACACUGCAAAUCGUGAGCCUGCCUGGAAAUUUGUCUGUAACAUGGCUUACUAAUGAAUCUCGAAUGAUCUGUUGUUAAAACUUGGAGGCUGCUGCCCAGCCAUUCUAAGGGGGUGAGGCUGACCCUGCAGAUCUCGUUUAUCCUACCAGCAAGGAACUUGGCGAUUCUGGAAUUCCCUUCACCUCACAGUCACUCCAGAAAGCAAUGAGGAAAUCUGCUGGUCUCACCUCCAGGGGCCUGGUUCUAUGACACCUUCACCUGACCAGCCUGUGGGCCCAGCUGGGGCACAUGCCUGGCGGUGAGAAGGCAUUUGGGGAUUGUGCCCUGACACUUAAGUUCUAGCACAUUCCUGCCUCCCAAAGUGCUUGCACUAAGCCCACUGCUCAGCAGGUCUCUGUCAGGCCCAAGCUGGCACGUUGGAAGCAUCAUCUCAACAGUACUGACCAGACAUUGCCCGUCUAAGAAGUGGUCUGCAGGAUCUAGACCAAGUGUCCUUCCUCCCUGGGGAACUGAGCUUCAGUGCUGCCUUCUGCCACCUCCCUGUGCUGCAGGCUUCCUGUGUUUUCUGGCUGGCUGGCCUGCCUGUCCUUCCGUCUCCUGCCCCGGGAAGACCUCGCUUGUUCAUCUCUGAGUCUCCCUCACAGCGCCCAUUCCUGCCUGGAUCCUGCUCUCAGCCUUGGCUCUGCCAUGGGUCUGUGCUGGUAGUAGUUCUGGCCUGUCCCAGCUAGACUUCCAAAACUGCAGGGGCCAGAGGCUGGUGCCAGGGAUCCUGAGGCCUUGUCCCUGACCCCCCAGGGCCUGAGCUGGCACCUGGAAGAGGCAGCCUUCUGUUGAGCAGAAGGGCAGAGGAACCAGCAAGAACGAGCAGAGAAGUUCAACGGUGUCACUUGAUAGAUAGCUGCAGGGACCAGGGAGAAGGGAACAUGAAAAUGUGGCCAGAGAGGUCUCUGCGUGGGGGGAAGAACAGUCUCCCCCUCAUAUGCAUUUCCUGUAUUUUCCAAAUUUUCUGCACUGAGCAGAAUUAGAAAAGGACUAUAUGACUGAUAUGUCCAUGAUAUGUCAAAUAGUUAUAAUUCAUACUUAAGAAUGAAAUUAACUGUUAAUAUUUGUGAAUUUAACAUAAAUAGCAAUCAUGUAUAUUGCCAGAAGAGUCGUUGGAACCAGAGUGGCAGUUCCCGUGUCUCUAGCCCUUUCCCCUGCACAAAGACACCUUCAAAUAGAAAACAAAACUGGGCAGCUCUACCAUGUCAGCCCUGGCUGCUGCGCCCACGUUCCCUGCAGCAGCCCUUGACAGUGAGCAGGGCUGGACACUGUGCUCGUUUUAAACCGGGUAGGCCCAAUGUGGAGGAGUGAAGAGCACUUGGGUUCCCCAGAGGCACUUCUAGGCUGCUUUCCCAGGGGAUCGGUGGGCUUCCUAUCCACCCCAAGCACUUCCCACAAUGCCUGUGGCCAGGGGAACUGCAGGAGCAAACAUUGUUUUGGGUAAUGGUAUUUGCAUGGGUCUCUAUAUCAUUUGAGGUGCCUGAGCCAGCUUGUGGGUCAUGCUGGGAAGUGUCCUGGUUGAGAGUGACAGUGUCUCAGCCAGGUGAGACUCUUUUCCACACCAUUACGUUAGAGCCGAAUGCCACACUCCUCCUUGGAAGGAAAAAGCGUUCACAGGAUGAGGACUCAGCGCAUGUCUGGGAUGCAUCCACCCAGGACUCACGGCUGCAGGGAGAUGCCUGCUCUUUCCUCUGUCUGUUGAGACAGGGCCAUUGCUGUCCCCUGGAUAACAGCCGGGAGGCCAAUCUCCAAACUGACGUAUUUGAUAUUAAGUAUCUUCCUUUAAAAACUGGGUUAAAAGGCAAAUCAGCGUGCUGUUUUCUACUCAAAAAGGCAAUUUCUAAAUUUGGGUUUUAAAAAAAAAUGUACUCCAGCUUGAAAAGCCCAAGGCUCUCAGAGGCAAGUAAGAUACACCACUCUGUGCUAAAACCAUCUUAGCUGCUUAGAAUAAAUCAGAACAAGACGAUGUGCGCCGAGCACACGUCUCCCAUCCCUGCUCUCUGAAGGCAGAGUGGGCCGAGCUGCUGCAGGCAGACCCCUCCUGUCCCAGGAGCCCACUGCCCCACACCAGAGCCCCAGCAUGGUAAAGGUCAGGCUCCAGGGUCCCAUGUACCGGACAGACAAGGCUUUCCCCACACCAAAGGCAGUUCCGGUGCUAGAUGCGGAUCCAAUUAUAAAAUAAAUAAUCACAAAAUACAAUCAACAGGUAAGGUGACCAAAUUGGACACAUUUAUUUCUUCCAAGAGAAACGUCGGGCACUUGGAAUUUUUAAGCUGUAGGUAGAUGGGCACAUUUUCAAAAGACCCCUGAUUGUACUUCCCCUCCUCACACUGGGCACUAGAAAACAUCUCUGCUUUCUAAAACAAAAACACAUGCCACGUUAACUCAGCAAAGAAAAACCAAUGUGCAGAAUCUUCGCAGAGAUGAUUUUUAAAUUAAAAAGAGAGAGAAACUGUUAGCUGUGAUUUAUACCUUUUGGGGGGGAAAUUACCUUCCGCGAGUGUCAAUAAUUUAACUGUCAAAUCACAACAAAACGAUACUUCAGCCUCCGAGGCUCUGGGACAGCAGCGUGGAAGGCAGAAUUUAAUGGUAACUACGAAAUACAAACGCUGAGGCUGGUACAGCAAAGGCCGCUUUCAGGGACUCUCCAGACAGGGCGGGGUCUUCACUAAUGUGUUUUAUCUCCUCCAUCUAUCUACACACAGGAUUAAAAUAUUUAUAUCGGCCUGCUCACUUGAAGACACACAGUCACCGACCGCUUCAGGGCCACUCCUUCGUUUCCCAGUGUCAGCUGCUCGGUGCUUCUAGAAACGUGGUCUCUGGACGUUGCACACUUUCAAAUGCUGGUGAGACCUGAGAGCAGGGAGCCUGGCACACUGGGUUCUCUAACGAAUACGAAGUCCCUCCUCGGCCACAGCCACAGGGACGCUGGCCAGCCACGGGGAUCAGGAUGGAGCCGGCUGAAGCCUGUUUCCCAAGAGCGGCCAGUGAAACCACGGAGGCCUGACCCAGUUUAAGGCAGCAGCGUACCUCUGGCCAGGAUGGCUGCUGGAAACCAGAGCCUGGCAAGGAGGCACCAGCCUGGCUGCCAGCAGUUGCUGGAACACAUGAGAUCACAGAUGUAGCUGUUUGCAGCUUGUUGAGUUGCCCUGGAUGCUGCUGGGCGAGCGCGUGGGUGCAGGGGCUACGGACCGCCUGGAAGCCUGCUCUUUCUUAGGGGGCAAUAGCUCCCCACAUUCCGACCCUCACACACUGCCCUGACCCAGCCUUGCACAUGUGUGCCUCUUGAAUUGGAACUUGCACAUUCAGAUGUCUGGGAAUCCAUUGUGAAACACGCAUGUGUGCACAUGAGGACACACACACACACACACGCAGGGGGCCAGGCCCUGGCUUCUCUCCACAGCAGGCACCGAUAUCCCUGUGGGGCUAGCCUCUGGGGAAGCCCAGUUCACAGGGAACCCAAGACCUCUCAGGGCCAGACACUGGACCCUUGGCCCUGGGACAGUCUGAACUAACCAGGAUCAGAGCUGACCUUCAUGGGCCAGGGCACCUCUGCCUUCCCAGGCCCUUCCUCCAUAAAUAUUAAAAAUCAUAUUUAAUGACUGCAUUGGAUUACA